This is a long non-coding RNA of Neofelis nebulosa (Clouded leopard), 2607 nucleotides long. RefSeq lists it as uncharacterized. The transcript is spliced from 2 exons. The record is from RefSeq and is a predicted model, not a curated record. NCBI's taxonomy places the organism in Eukaryota, Metazoa, Chordata, Mammalia, Carnivora, Felidae.
GCUUGGGGUGGAUGUGGGGGAGGGUAGAGUUUCCAAGCUCCGCCCCGCCCUCCUUCACUCAGGCAAGAGAGGGGCGUUAGAAAGGACAAGGGGGAGCUGCCUCCCAGCCCUGGGAUCGCUGGGCCACAGGGCAGGCUUCUCCUGCUGAAACAGAAGGCCUCUGGUUUGUUCGGCAGGGAUGGGGGCGGGGCUGCACCUGUUCAGGCCAGGCAGCGAUGUAUGCUCGGUGUGUUAAGUGUCUUCCUCCAGCUGCUUUAGGACCCAGCACAAGAGCGGAAAUACACACAGGGGAGAGUGCCUGUGCACAGGCAGAUAUCCGUGCAAGCGUCCCUGGGUGGUGGCUUUCUCUAAAGGGGACCCACCGAGCUUUAGUUCUGUGGACCCAGAGCUCAUUAAACUGCCAGCCUUUUCUUGGCAUCAUUUGGGAGUAACAGUGGACUUCCGGUGCUCGUCCAGGAACGGGAACCGGAACUGGGAACAGGACCAUGUCAGGGCAUCUUUUUGCAGGUGUCCUGCUUAUCUCUUGAGAAGCCUUCCUGUGCCUCAUCUGAGUGAAAGGUUUUCUGGGAACUACUUAGCCCCUCAUUUAUGACAGAAGAGGGCCACUUAUCCUCACAACACCUCCAAGGUGUUCCUUCCUCCUCCUCUUCACCUGCCUCCUCCACCUUGUUCAAGACAUUCAGGUCAGCUCAAGAAGCAGCUGUGCACGCCCCCAGCCUUGUGCAGGAUACUUUAAGGUGUUUGGUUGACAGAGAGAAGGGAGGAUGCCCACCAAGGUACCUGCAAUGUCUCGAAUUAUUUGCUUCAUGAUCUUUGUUCUCUAGUGGCUUAAAAUCUAAUGGGAGAGCCAAGACAGGCAACAAAGACGUGGCUAGCACGUGGGGGAUGAGGGAGGCUCAGAAAUGGAGAGUGAGUCAAUGCCGGAAAGAGAGUUUGGGCCUCCAGUCACACCCUUCCGAGGAGGGAAACUAUUGUGGGCUGUCUCUGAGUCACCAGAGAUUUCUCAGGGGAGGUAGGAUUUGAAUUAAGCCUCCGAGCCAGGCUGUGAGCUAAGUGCCUGACGCCCAUUAUCUCAUUUAAUCCUUACAAAACCUCCAUGAUCUGGGUGUUAUAAUUAUCACUCCCAUCUUAUAGAUGAGGAAACAAGCUGGGGGGUGGGGGUUCAGGGAACUGCCAAGGUCACAAAGCUGGUAAGAAGAUUUUAAGCUGGGCCUCCAUGACUUUUAAGCCCUUCCUCUGAAUCUUAAUGCUUUAUGGCCUCCUCUAACCUUGAAAACAUGUAAAAUUUCCAGUGAGGAGACCCAAGGCAAGAGCAUGGCCACAGAGGCAGAGUGCUAAGAAGAUGGGAGAGUGUCAGGGGGGUCAAACUCUGGCCAGAGUGAAUUCCCAGGCCAGGGGAAAGAACUAGCAGGUACAUGCUAAUAUCCCCAGCUCUAAGAGCUGUUCAUUGGAGGAAAGAGGAUUUGGGGUUAUUUAAUUUCCUGGCUGAGAAAUCCAAACCGCUUUUGAGUGAGAGCAGGGGGCAGAGGGGUCUUCUUGUCAAUCCUGUCCCCAACAACUUCAGGGUAUUGGGGCUUUUAGACACUCUGCAACCCAGCUCAUCCAAUACCUUCAAUCCAGAUCAAUAAACAUUUAUGUGCCAGACACUAAGUGCUGGAAAUGAUUAAGGGACAAUUCUUGCCACCAGGAAAAUUAUAGUCUAACAGGGGUGAUGGACACAAAGAGAAAAUUCACUAUAAAUGAGAAAUGUGAAGAUUGAAUGUGUGGUCCCCUCACCUGGGACAUCAGCCCAGGUGUAAAGGACACAGGAGCUGAACCUUGAAGGCAGAGCAGGUGAUAGGGGAAGAAAAGGAGUUAACCCAUGCACCCUGGGUUAGAGGAAAACACCUAAGCAAGGUCAUGGAGGUGUGGAAGCAUGGUUUGUGUUUGAACUUGUAAGCUGACCAGUUGAUGAGAGCAUGAGCUUGGAGACAGGUAGUGACAUGAGACAAGGCUUCAGAGGUUGGCAGGAGUGAGGGCUCAAAAGGCUUUGCAGGUCUGGCUAAGGAACAUGGACUCAAUCCUCAGAGGCCUGAAGGGCUUUCAGCAGAAUCUAAUAUAGUCACGUCACAUUCUAGAAUCCUAACUCUGGCUAUGAAGAGGGAAGUAGCUUUCCCUAGGAUAGACUGGAUCCUAGGAGGCUGUGAAGGAGAACUGUUACAUUUCACCCAAGAUAUGAUGAGGUCCCUGAUCAAGGUGCUAACAGUAGAACUGGAGAAGGGACAACCGGGUCAAGGAACACUUAAGAAAAGAACAAGACGGGAAGUCCCUGGGAGGAAGAAGGAAGAGCCUGACGGUCUCCAGACUGCAUCUUGUGGGACUGAAUAGGCUUGUAAAGUCCCCACACUGCUAUGAAUCACGGACACUCUGCCAGCGAAUGCAGGGAAACCUGGCCAACUCCAGAAGAUGCUGGCUUGACAAGCAGCUGCUGUGGUUCAUCUGAGGUCACUUUUCACUAUUGCAAGGGUCUCCCACCUGCUCGUUCUGGAAAUCAGGGAACAAGUCACUUGCUGGGGGUGGAGCCUCUAGCUCCCCUCUGCUGGAGAAAUAAUAAAUGCCUGGAGCUCU